AAAUCAAGCAUCCAUUUUGGUGGAUUAGGUUUUAUUUUUACCCCAUCAACAUCCAAGAUCCAUUGAGCUUGAUGAGACCUAUGGUCCAAACCAUCAUGAUCCAAGACCAACAAAAGUCAACAAAGGUCAAACAAAUAUAAAAUUAAAUGAAAUGAAAUAAAAAUGCACAAAAAGUAUUUUUAAAUGAAUUGUAAAAUAGAAAUAAAAAAAAAUCCAUGAAGUCCUUCAAAACACUAAAUAAAUGGCC
This 247-nucleotide long non-coding RNA is filed under the name Lathyrus oleraceus (garden pea). RNAcentral's name for it is "Pisum sativum (pea) long non-coding RNA (PSAT_LNC031421)". The record is from RNAcentral. Lineage: Eukaryota; Viridiplantae; Streptophyta; Magnoliopsida; Fabales; Fabaceae.